AGAGUUUGAUCCUGGCUCAGAUUGAACGCUGGCGGCAGGCCUAACACAUGCAAGUCGAGCGGAUGACGGGAGCUUGCUCCUUGAUUCAGCGGCGGACGGGUGAGUAAUGCCUAGGAAUCUGCCUGGUAGUGGGGGACAACGUUUCGAAAGGAACGCUAAUACCGCAUACGUCCUACGGGAGAAAGCAGGGGACCUUCGGGCCUUGCGCUAUCAGAUGAGCCUAGGUCGGAUUAGCUAGUUGGUGGGGUAAUGGCUCACCAAGGCGACGAUCCGUAACUGGUCUGAGAGGAUGAUCAGUCACACUGGAACUGAGACACGGUCCAGACUCCUACGGGAGGCAGCAGUGGGGAAUAUUGGACAAUGGGCGAAAGCCUGAUCCAGCCAUGCCGCGUGUGUGAAGAAGGUCUUCGGAUUGUAAAGCACUUUAAGUUGGGGGGAAGGGCAGUAAGUUAAUACCUUGCUGUUUUGACGUUACCGACAGAAUAAGCACCGGCUAACUCUGUGCCAGCAGCCGCGGUAAUACAGAGGGUGCAAGCGUUAAUCGGAAUUACUGGGCGUAAAGCGCGCGUAGGUGGUUUGUUAAGUUGGAUGUGAAAGCCCCGGGCUCAACCUGGGAACUGCAUCCAAAACUGGCAAGCUAGAGUACGGUAGAGGGU
Molecule: ribosomal RNA, 656 nt
Filed under: uncultured Gammaproteobacteria bacterium
Lineage: Bacteria; Pseudomonadati; Pseudomonadota; Gammaproteobacteria
Description: bacterial SSU rRNA
Rfam family: Bacterial small subunit ribosomal RNA
Source: RNAcentral